This 360-nucleotide long non-coding RNA is filed under the name Olea europaea (common olive). RNAcentral describes it as "long non-coding RNA (OEUR_LNC014599)". The record is from RNAcentral. Lineage: Eukaryota; Viridiplantae; Streptophyta; Magnoliopsida; Lamiales; Oleaceae.
CACCUACAAAUUAACCAAAACAAUUGAUUAGUGUAAGGAUUUGCAAAGUAAAUUGAAGAAAAUCAAGACCAAAAUCUGAAAAUAAAAGGAAUGGUUUUCCCCUUUAUGAUUCGGCUCAGAAACUUGAUCCACACCACAAAGGUAUCUCCAAUUUGAAGGCCAUUAUCAAUCACACAGACAGAUUCACAAAGAAAAGGCAAGAGAAGAUUGGUUUGCACUAAGCAGGGAAGUUUUUCUUCCUCUUGGUUUUGGUUCUCGUUUUUGGUGUGUAUAAUGGAAGGGAAGAGUCUCCUAUUUAUAGGCUUAUAGGAGUGAAUGAAUUUCACAGGAGUCUUCAAGAUUAGAUUGAAUAAAAACUGC